GCUGUUGGAUAUGCGCGUCCAAGCAGUAAGGCGUGUGUGUAGGCAAAUCCGCACACUGUAACGUUGAGCUGUGAUGGCGAGUCCGUAUGGACGAAGUUCCUGAUUUCACACUGCCAAGAAAAGCCUCUAUCGAGGUGAGAGGUGCCCGUACCGCAAACCGACACAGGUAGUCGAGGAGAGAAUCCGAAGGUGUGCGAGAGAACUCUCGUUAAGGAACUCGGCAAAAUGACCCCGUAACUUCGGGAGAAGGGGUGCUCUUGAGCGUGCAAGCGCAUGAGAGCCGCAGUGAAUAGGCCCAGGCGACUGUUUAGC
This 312-nucleotide ribosomal RNA is filed under the name Lysinibacillus xylanilyticus. RNAcentral describes it as "bacterial LSU rRNA". It matches the Rfam family "Bacterial large subunit ribosomal RNA", at positions 1494 to 1808 of the family's 2925-position model. Lineage: Bacteria; Bacillati; Bacillota; Bacilli; Caryophanales; Bacillaceae. The record is from RNAcentral.